RNAcentral lists this ribosomal RNA (254 nucleotides) under uncultured prokaryote. Its description in RNAcentral is "partial 16S ribosomal RNA". It matches the Rfam family "Bacterial small subunit ribosomal RNA", at positions 524 to 777 of the family's 1533-position model. The record is from RNAcentral.
UACGGAGGAUCCGAGCGUUAUCCGGAUUUAUUGGGUUUAAAGGGUGCGUAGGUGGAUUGGUAAGUCAGUGGUGAAAGUUUGCAGCUUAACUGUAAAAGUGCCGUUGAUACUGCAUGGCUAGGAUUUGGUUGCUGUGGGUGGAAUGUGUGGUGUAGCGGUGAAAUGCUUAGAUAUCACACAGAAUAUCAAUUGCGAAGGCAGCUCACAAAGCCAAGAUUGACGCUGAGGCACGAAAGUGUGGGGAUCAAACAGGA